Molecule: ribosomal RNA, 463 nt
Filed under: uncultured bacterium
Lineage: Bacteria
Description: partial 16S ribosomal RNA
Rfam family: Bacterial small subunit ribosomal RNA
Source: RNAcentral
GAUGAACGCUGACAGAAUGCUUAACACAUGCAAGUCGAUGGGGAAGUGGUGCUUGCACCAUGGUAACCAUGGCGGACGGGUGAGUAACGCGUAAGGAACUUACCUGCGGGACCGGGAUAACAGCAGGAAACUGCUGACAACACCGGAUAAGGUCAUUAAGCUGCAUAGCUUAGUGAUGAAAGGAGACGCCUGCGGAGAGCCUUGCGUCCUAUUAGCUAGUUGGAGGGGUAACGGCCCACCAAGGCGAAGAUAGGUAGCCGGCCUGAGAGGGUGGACGGCCACAAGGGGACUGAGAUACGGCCCUUACUCCUACGGGAGGCAGCAGUGGGGAAUAUUGGACAAUGGGGGCAACCCUGAUCCAGCAAUUCUGUGUGCACGAAGACGGUUUUCGGAUUGUAAAGUGCUUUCAGCAGGGAAGAAGGAAGUGACGGUACCUGCAGAAGAAGCGACGGCUAAAUACGUG